This 500-nucleotide ribosomal RNA is filed under the name uncultured bacterium. Its description in RNAcentral is "partial 16S ribosomal RNA". It matches the Rfam family "Bacterial small subunit ribosomal RNA", at positions 28 to 507 of the family's 1533-position model. The record is from RNAcentral.
GACGAACGCUGGCGGCGUGCCUAAUACAUGCAAGUCGAGCGGACUGAUUAAGAGCUUGCUCUUAUGACGUUAGCGGCGGACGGGUGAGUAACACGUGGGCAACCUGCCCUGUAGAUCGGGAUAACACCGAGAAAUCGGUGCUAAUACCGGCUAAUAUCUGAGAUCACAUGAUCUUAGGUUAAAAGAUGGCUCCGGCUAUCGCUACAGGAUGGGCCGGCGGGGCAUUAGCUAGUUGGUAAGGUAAUGGCUUACCAAGGCGACGAUGCGUAGCCGACCUGAGAGGGGGAUCGGCCACACUGGGACUGAGACACGGCCCAGACUCCUACGGGAGGCAGCAGUAGGGAAUCUUCCGCAAUGGACGAAAGUCUGACGGAGCAACGCCGCGUGAGUGAUGAAGGGUUUCGGCUCGUAAAGCUCUGUUGUUAGGGAAGAAACAGUACCGAACGAACUAGGUCGGUACCUUGACGGUACCUAACCAGAAAGCCACGGCUAACUACGUG